UACAGUGUGGAAACAACAUCACUGAUAAUGUCAGACUUAGAGCUAGAGGAUAAAGAGAACAUCUCACAGGUUUUAGCACCUCAUAGUUAUGAGUCAGUUACUGACUAGCAGCUGAAGGAAACGCUUCUGCUUUGAAUCGCCUACGCCCUUGGUGCCACCUGCUGGUCGCAUCGCGCCAAUGCAGCUCUGAUCCGUGGAGAAUCUAAGCCUACCUUCUGAGCCAAACCUGAGAAAAUCUGGAAUUUCCUACCAGCUGGAAGACUAGAUCCAGUAUCAAAUCCUCAGGGAUGGCUCUGCUUACAGUGUGUAGACGGAGGAUUGAGAACAGUUAGUGCCUGGGAAGUGGAAGCAUAUGAAGCACAGAGACACAGCACAGCGGCACAGAGAAGAGGAGGAGAGGUACGGAAGCUCUGAGAAGGGCAAGAACCAGCUCCCAGGUCUCACCUGCAUCCUCUUUUUCCAGCAUUGGCCCAUCCAGGCUCCCGGACAGAGCUCAGCCUGGCUUCUCACAAUU
RNAcentral lists this long non-coding RNA (514 nucleotides) under Mus caroli (Ryukyu mouse). RNAcentral's name for it is "lncRNA (MGP_CAROLIEiJ_G0006689.1)". The record is from RNAcentral. Lineage: Eukaryota; Metazoa; Chordata; Mammalia; Rodentia; Muridae.